GCAGUAUUUUGACUGUACAAAGGUAGCAUAAUCAAUCGUCUCUUAAUUGGAGUCUGGUAUGAAUGGUUGGAUGAGAAAUUUACUUUCUUUAUUUUUGACAUAAAAAUUAAUUUCUAAUUCAAAAAGUUUAGAUUUUAUUAAAGGACGAGAAGACCCUAUAGAACUUUACUUUUUUCUUAAAUUGCUAUUUUCUGGAAAAUAUUUUUUUUAAAUUUAAGAAAAAGUUUUGUUGGGGUGACAAAAAAAUUUUUAUAACUUUUUUUAUUUUUUUCAUUUAUUUAUGAAUUUUUGAUCCUUUAUUAUGGAAAUAAGAUUAAGUUACCUUAGGGAUAACAGCGUUAUUAUUUUGGAGAGUUCAUAUUGAUAAAAUAGUUUGCGACCUCGAUGUUGGAUUAAAAUAAGUGCUGGGGGUAGUAUAUCAGUUACUAGGUCUGUUCGACCUUUAAAUUUUUACA
This 455-nucleotide ribosomal RNA is filed under the name Phylus coryli. RNAcentral describes it as "partial large subunit ribosomal RNA". It matches the Rfam family "Bacterial large subunit ribosomal RNA", at positions 1933 to 2600 of the family's 2925-position model. The record is from RNAcentral. Lineage: Eukaryota; Metazoa; Arthropoda; Insecta; Hemiptera; Miridae.